AUUGAACGCUGGCGGCAGGCCUAACACAUGCAAGUCGAACGGUAACAGGAAGAAGCUUGCUUCUUUGCUGACGAGUGGCGGACGGGUGAGUAAUGUCUGGGAAACUGCCUGAUGGAGGGGGAUAACUACUGGAAACGGUAGCUAAUACCGCAUAACGUCGCAAGACCAAAGAGGGGGACCUUCGGGCCUCUUGCCAUCGGAUGUGCCCAGAUGGGAUUAGCUAGUAGGUGGGGUAACGGCUCACCUAGGCGACGAUCCCUAGCUGGUCUGAGAGGAUGACCACCCAGCCUGGAAUUGAGCCCCGGUCCGGACCCCUACGGGAGGCAGCGGGGGGGAAUGUUGCAAAAGGGGCGAAAGCCUGAUGCAGCCGUGCGGGGUGUAAGAAGAAGGCUUUGGGGUUGUAAAGUACUUUCAGGGGGGAGGAGGGGAGUAAAGUUAAUACCUUUCCUCAUUGCCGUUACCCGAAAAAGAAGCCCCGGCUAACUCCGUG
RNAcentral lists this ribosomal RNA (490 nucleotides) under uncultured bacterium. RNAcentral describes it as "partial 16S ribosomal RNA". It matches the Rfam family "Bacterial small subunit ribosomal RNA", at positions 30 to 507 of the family's 1533-position model. The record is from RNAcentral.